Molecule: ribosomal RNA, 464 nt
Filed under: uncultured bacterium
Lineage: Bacteria
Description: partial 16S ribosomal RNA
Rfam family: Bacterial small subunit ribosomal RNA
Source: RNAcentral
CUACGGGGGGCAGCAGUGGGGAAUAUUGGACAAUGGGGGAAACCCUGAUCCAGCAAUGCCGCGUGUGAAGAAGGCCUGCGGGUUGUAAAGCACUUUCGGUUGGGAGGACUGCUUCUAGCACUAAUAUUGUUGGAAGUUGACGUUACCUUCAGAAGAAGCACCGGCUAACUCCGUGCCAGCAGCCGCGGUAAUACGGAGGGUGGCAAGCGUUAAUCGGAAUUACAGGGCGUAAAGCGCGCGUAGGCGGCUAGAUCAGUCGGGUGUGAAAGCCCCGGGCUUAACCUGGGAACUGCAUCCGAUACUGUCUAGCUUGAGUACAGGAGAGGAGAGUGGAAUUCCACAUGUAGCGGUGAAAUGCGUAGAUAUGUGGAGGAACACCAAUGGCGAAGGCAGCUCUCUGGCCUGAUACUGACGCUGAGGUGCGAAAGCGUGGGGAGCAAACAGGAUUAGAUACCCUUGUAGUC